UGGGGAGGGGAGGGAGCGGGAGACAGGGCACACCCUAUACAACCGCAACCCUACGGGCAUGGGAGAGAGUAGCACAGAGAUGCAGACUAGCGCCAUUCCCAUCCCCCCUUCUCCCUCUCACGCAUAACGACAGCUUCCCACCGGGGCUAGACCCCAACGCAUUCAGGGACUUAAUCCGACAUAAACUACCCAGACUACACCACCUCCUGGCAGGCACGGAAUGCAAAACACUCCCGACCCUAUUAGAGGGAGCAACCCCCACCCUCCUACACCACCUAAAACACAGACAGCUACAGAGCUAUGUACACACCCUCCCGGGGGGCACGGCACGGAAACGUGAUCCUACCACAUUUGAAAGAAUGUGCAUGGACCCAGACCCGCAACCACACGGGAUCUCACUCAUUUACUCCAUGCUACAGAGGGAAACACCAACGGAGAAACCCAAAUUCAUGGGGAGAUGGGAACAAACAUUGGGGAAAACUUUCACAGACGGGGACUGGGAAAAGAUAUGCUACUUAACGCAUCACUGC
Non-coding RNA from Pelobates cultripes (western spadefoot toad), 530 nucleotides. The record is from the annotation of a GenBank genome assembly. NCBI's taxonomy places the organism in Eukaryota, Metazoa, Chordata, Amphibia, Anura, Pelobatidae.